This is a non-coding RNA of Myotis lucifugus (little brown bat), 76 nucleotides long. Lineage: Eukaryota; Metazoa; Chordata; Mammalia; Chiroptera; Vespertilionidae. The record is from Rfam.
GAGACACCCUUAUGGGGCAGGACUUGCUUCAGUGGGGCUUUGGUGCUCACUGAGUCUGUCUCUUGAGUGUGUCCCU